UUAAGAUGAUGACGAUGUCCACUAGAGGACGUUUGAGAAACGUUUUCGCCACCCAUCGCCGUUGUCUUUUGCGUGACAACUCAAAAACAGAAUGUAGGACGCGACUGAACCCAAUUUGACCUUUUCUCUCUUCUUGAACGUCGUAAUGUCGCGGCAACGAGCAAUAACUCUGUAGACUGAACGGCGGUAACAAAAGCAGCAGUAACUGUAACCCAACGGCUAUAGAGGGCAAAUAUCAAGCCACACACAAUAGAAACGACGGCGACCACACUUCUGCCAUUAGGUCAAUAGAAGGGUCCGUCCGACAGGCGUCGCAGCAGAGCUAGGUUGAGGUUCAAAGGAUCUAAGGAAGGAAAGACCUGAAAGAAAGGGCAUCUGACUCUUACUUUCCACUUCGUAUGUUGCCAACAGCUCUGAAAUAUUGCAAGCGUUACGGCGGUGGUCAGCCAUACAUCGUAUAGCAUAUAUCCAAGUUCUCGCGCUGGGUUACGAAUCACCUUGAGGGCCUGUCAGGCAAACCAUCGGGGGGCAAUUUCGCCCCUUGUCUGAGUCAUAUAACUAAUUCCUCGUUCUGUCAUAUUGACAAUCCCAAGCUAAGUAACGUUACCAGAAGAACUAAAUCAACUAUGAGCACGGGUUUAGUGUAAAUAUACGGCUACGCAAAUGAGGGUCGUUUACAUCGCUGAAUUAAGAUUAUUCGUCAACAGAAUGAGAUUAACGAAGUAAUUUACGCUUACUAGAAAUUUAAAAUUGACUUCAUUGGGAACCCGGGCCGCAUGUAUUAAUCUUCAAUGAUCAUAUCAGGCAUUUUAAAGGCAGCAUAAAAUGGCCGUAUCAGCUAUAUAUGUUUUAAUUAUCUACAAUAUUUUACUGCCUAUCCUACUUUCCCAAGCAAGAAAGCAUUCAAACAUAUUUCACACGUUUGCCAUGCCGUAUAUUCAGUAGCAUCAAAGACUGAACUCGGAAGGGUCACGAUUUAAUCAGCAUCGAGAAAUGCUUACAUCUUCUUCUAUUCAUUAAUCUUCUCCCUUAAAAUGAUCCCCACUAUAGGCUUACGUUGUUUGAAAUGAUUUAGUAGCAAAGUUUAAUGUUUUCUAAUUGAUUGAUUUUUCUAUGCUACAGUCCGAGCAGCAGCUCUCAAUCAAGGGCCAACCGUUGCUAUCGUACAGCCGAAGGUUGCAUAUGAAGGUGCUGCUAAACGACUGCAGUUAGGGUUACCUUGGUCCCCAAGCAAAGUUUUCUCGUUCCGUUGGGCGUCAUGGCUGAAAACUAUAGUGCUCCUUAAGGUUCCCUUUGCACCCUGUUGCGUAUUCAAGUCGGUAUGAGAAAGAGACGGAUCUAGACUCAGAGAGCUGUACUAACAACAACAGUAAACGUCUUGAAGCUUACAACGUUUCAAGCUGCAUCCCCGUCCAAGCAUGGCCACUUAACGGUAUUAUGGAUGAUUUGUUGCCGCAUUUUAUGAAGGUCUACUGUAAAUGGCCUCCAAUUCAUCUGAGUACAGUAUCUGUAGGGGGCGCCAGGGGAAGGUUUUCAUGCAUUCAUUUAUGCUUCCUGAUAGACGAGUUUGCACUACUAUACGUCUUCAAGGUUUUUCUAAGAAAUGUCAAAAAUGCUUGUGAGAGUGAUGAUGUCAUCAAGUAUCGCACCGGGGUUGUUGCGGCGAAUUUCGAAGAUUUUCCCGUAAGUAUUGAAGCUUAAAAACGUCGAGUAAAAACGAGUCUGAAUCCGUGAGUCGUAGUGAGCGUGGUACGGCCGGGAGGCCCAAUGAACGUUCAACAACACGCUAGAGAAGGCUUGACCCGAGCUUACAACGUGCGUCUGGGAGUUGCUGAUCUGGUUCGAGGUCUGCCAGCGGCGUAACCGAGACCCAGAGUGGCACGAUACUCUCCAUCUAAUUCCGGCUCAAUGACGCUCCUUUGAAAAAAUGAAGGAGCGAUCUUAUAAGGCCUUUUAAAGUUCUCAAGCGUUAAGGCUUUUCCAGUUUUGGUGUGGUCGAUUAUCGUAUCUCGUGUCAGUCCGGAGGGCGACAUCGGGUAUCGUGAUCCAAGCGCUAGAAGCUACGCAGUGUUUCUUCAGGAGCUUUGGCGCUAUCUUGACCAACGAAGCGAUAUGCUUCCCAUCAUGGCCGAUUGCAGACUACCUACAGCAGAAAUACAGCGGGCCUGAGCAGGACGCUGUUCGAACUGUCUUUCCGCUCUUGGGCCGUACUGCUCGGAAAGCUUUGUGGCUGUGGAAAUGCCAGAAGACAGAGUGUCGCGAAACAGCGCGCAUAAACUACUGCGGAACCGGCGACACCACAUAAAAGCGUGCUUUGAAUAUCGCUUCGAAUUCUCUGCCCCGCGGAAAUCUCCAAGAAGUUGCAGCCACUUUACCAUAUGCCACUUACUCUUGGGGGUCCAUGUCAUAAAGCUAUCGGGUUUAGGUACCCCCGCUGGCUAGGGAACAUACUCCGACAUCGCAGCCGAAUGUAAAGUUCCCAAUCCAUAGAGUUCAACCGAAGAAUAAUCAAUUCAUGAGCGUAGCAUGGGGUAAAUCAAGCGUCUAUCGUAUUGUACGGCGUUCUUUAUGAAAAUAUGACCUUCAAACAAUAACACAUGCCAUCAGUGAAGAUGAUCCGGACUAAAAAAUUCUGCUUGUGGUAAUAGAAAAAAAUAUGAACAAGGUGCGCUGUUUCCAGACAGCAUUGUUUUAAAUUAUAAAAUUGCAUUUUAAUUAAUUAAACAGCAUAAUUAUUCCACACAAUUUUAAUUACUAGAUAAUAUAGCAACGUUGUGAAAAUUUACCAGAAGAACAAAGAGUUAAUCCAAUCAUUCGCCUUUGAGGGUAUAGUCACUGGUGUCAAUUCCUUGAGUUUACAGCAAGAAUCUCUUUUAGCACGAAUUUUUGGGAGAAUUGUGGUAAAAAUGGCAAACUUUACUUCCAACAAUAAUCGUGAUAUAUCUUGGCGAGUCGUUGCACGUUUUCCAGACCCGACACCGAUGGAUUUUUCUGAUGGAUGUAUCUCAAAGAUGAGGUCUACGCUGACAGACCGAAGACACUGGAAAAUUUCAAAGCCACAAUUGAUCAAUACUGCGGCCAAACACCAAAUUAAAAAAAUGUCUGUUUGUAAAUUUAUGGCUUACCAUUAUCAGCCCUAAACUAAUUAGAAGGACAAUAAUUUAGAACACCUGUAAGAGCCUGUUGAUACUGUUUGGACAAACAAAAACGGGCCUCCUUCAAGUAAGCUUCUUACAUAAGCCCUUAUAUAUAUAUAUAAGGGCUUAAAGUAGGCCCGUUCUUGUUUAAUUCAAUAGCUUCAGUUUACCGGAAUAAUAAAAAAAAAAAAAAGAAAAAAAAGGUAUCUCAAUUUCAGGCGAAGCCGCUGCGGUUAGAUUGUACUAACUGCUUUUGUGUUCGAACAGUGCGGUACUAAGUGGCCAACACGAAAAGAAACACUAACUUAUUUGAAAACCUAUUUUCGCUACUGUGUGGAAAAAAACUUGUGAUUUUGGCCGAUAGCGCCGUAGCAUUCGCCAUUUGAGAAACUUGUUCAAUAACUGCCAGCGACACCACGAAAGGUCCUGUGAUGACCAACUAUGAAAAAGCAGGACGCUGAUCUCUUUAACGCGCGGGAAGGCCACGCUGUAGUAAUAAGACGUCUCAUUAUCUUAGUGCUUCUAUGUCUAUGUGUUAUAAUAAACUCAAUGUGAAUGAACUUCUAAACA
Molecule: long non-coding RNA, 3707 nt
Organism: Varroa destructor (honeybee mite)
Lineage: Eukaryota; Metazoa; Arthropoda; Arachnida; Mesostigmata; Varroidae
Source: RefSeq, a predicted model, not a curated record